CGUGGCUCAAGGACGAACGCUGGCGGCGUGGCCUAAUAACAUGCAAGUCGAACGCUUCUUUCCUCCCGAGUGCUUGCACUCAAUUGGAAAGAGGAGUGGCGGACGGGUGAGUAACACGUGGGUAACCUACCCAUCAGAGGGGGAUAACACUUGGAAACAGGUGCUAAUACCGCAUAACAGUUUAUGCCGCAUGGCAUAAGAGUGAAAGGCGCUUUCGGGUGUCGCUGAUGGAUGGACCCGCGGUGCAUUAGCUAGUUGGUGAGGUAACGGCUCACCAAGGCCACGAUGCAUAGCCGACCUGAGAGGGUGAUCGGCCACACUGGGACUGAGACACGGCCCAGACUCCUACGGGAGGCAGCAGUAGGGAAUCUUCGGCAAUGGACGAAAGUCUGACCGAGCACGCCGCGUGAGUGAAGAAGGUUUUCGGAUCGUAAAACUCUGUUGUUAGAGAAGAACAAGGACGUUAGUAACUGAACGUCCCCUGACGGUAUCUAACCAGAAAGCCACGGCUAACUACGUGCCAGCAGCCGCGGUAAUACGUAGGUGGCAAGCGUUGUCCGGAUUUAUUGGGCGUAAAGCGAGCGCAGGCGGUUUCUUAAGUCUGAUGUGAAAGCCCCCGGCUCAACCGGGGAGGGUCAUUGGAAACUGGGAGACUUGAGUGCAGAAGAGGAGAGUGGAAUUCCAUGUGUAGCGGUGAAAUGCGUAGAUAUAUGGAGGAACACCAGUGGCGAAGGCGGCUCUCUGGUCUGUAACUGACGCUGAGGCUCGAAAGCGUGGGGAGCAAACAGGAUUAGAUACCCUGGUAGUCCACGCCGUAAACGAUGAGUGCUAAGUGUUGGAGGGUUUCCGCCCUUCAGUGCUGCAGCAAACGCAUUAAGCACUCCGCCUGGGGAGUACGACCGCAAGGUUGAAACUCAAAGGAAUUGACGGGGGCCCGCACAAGCGGUGGAGCAUGUGGUUUAAUUCGAAGCAACGCGAAGAACCUUACCAGGUCUUGACAUCCUUUGACCACUCUAGAGAUAGAGCUUUCCCUUCGGGGACAAAGUGACAGGUGGUGCAUGGAUGUCGUCAGCCUCGUGUCGUGAGAUGUUGGGUUAAGUCCCGCAACGAGCGCAACCCUUAUUGAUAGUGCCAUCAUUAGUUGGGCACUCUAGCGAGACUGCCGUGACA
RNAcentral lists this ribosomal RNA (1170 nucleotides) under uncultured bacterium. RNAcentral's name for it is "bacterial SSU rRNA". It matches the Rfam family "Bacterial small subunit ribosomal RNA", at positions 18 to 1159 of the family's 1533-position model. The record is from RNAcentral.